RNAcentral lists this long non-coding RNA (263 nucleotides) under Lathyrus oleraceus (garden pea). Its description in RNAcentral is "Pisum sativum (pea) long non-coding RNA (PSAT_LNC021121)". The record is from RNAcentral. Lineage: Eukaryota; Viridiplantae; Streptophyta; Magnoliopsida; Fabales; Fabaceae.
AGACGGUGAGAAUAAUCACUUCCGCCUCAAAUCCUCUUCUCUGCUUGAGACAUUCAUCUCCUCCCUCACUCGAAACAAAAACAAACUUACAAAUUAAACCUAAACCGUUACUCCUAUCACAAACCAAACCCAACACUAAAAGCACGCAAAGGCAAACGUCAUCAUCAAAAUCAUGAACCCUAAACAAAUAGGGUCGACCUUGAAUACUGAAAAACAAGAAGGGACAAUCACUUACAGAGAAGUGAAUCAAGCGUGAAAAAAAA